Molecule: ribosomal RNA, 407 nt
Filed under: uncultured bacterium
Lineage: Bacteria
Description: partial 16S ribosomal RNA
Rfam family: Bacterial small subunit ribosomal RNA
Source: RNAcentral
GACGAACGCUGGCGGCGUGCCUAAUACAUGCAAGUAGAACGCAGUUGAGAAGGGGUGCGUAACGCGGAGGUAACUGCGUCAUCGCGGGGGAUAACUAUUGGGAACGAUAGCUAAUACCGCAUACUGUGAGAUGGACCUGCGUUGUAUUCGCUAGUUGGUGAGGUAAAGGCUCACCAAGGAGACGAUACAUAGCCGACCUGAGAGGGUGAACGGCCAAACUGGUACUGGGGCACGGACCAGGCUUCUACGGUAGGCAGCAGGAGGGAAGCGUUGGCAAUGGACGGAAGUCUUACCGAGCAACGCCGCGGGAGGUAAGAAGGGUGUCGGAUCGUAAAGCUCUGGUGGUAAGGAAGCGGUAACUAACCAGAAAGGGACGGCUAACUACGUGCCAGCAGCCGCGGUAAUUC